GAUGAACGCUGGCGGCGUGCCUAAUACAUGCAAGUCGAGCGAACAGACGAGGAGCUUGCUCCUCUGACGUUAGCGGCGGACGGGUGAGUAACACGUGGAUAACCUACCUAUAAUACUGGGAUAACUUCGGGAAACCGGAGCUAAUACCGGAUAAUAUAUUGAACCGCAUGGUUCAAUAGUGAAAGACGGUUUUGCUGUCACUUAUAGAUGGAUCCGCGCCGCAUUAGCUAGUUGGUAAGGUAACGGCUUACCAAGGCAACGAUGCGUAGCCGACCUGAGAGGGUGAUCGGCCACACUGGAACUGAGACACGGUCCAGACUCCUACGGGAGGCAGCAGUAGGGAAUCUUCCGCAAUGGGCGAAAGCCUGACGGAGCAACGCAGCGUGAGUGAUGAAGGUCUGCGGAUCGUAAAACUCUGUUAUUAGGGAAGAACAAAUGUGUAAGUAACGAUGCACGUCUUGACGGUACCUAAUCAGAAAGCCACGGCUAACUACGU
RNAcentral lists this ribosomal RNA (496 nucleotides) under uncultured bacterium. RNAcentral's name for it is "partial 16S ribosomal RNA". It matches the Rfam family "Bacterial small subunit ribosomal RNA", at positions 28 to 506 of the family's 1533-position model. The record is from RNAcentral.